RNAcentral lists this ribosomal RNA (253 nucleotides) under uncultured bacterium. RNAcentral describes it as "partial 16S ribosomal RNA". It matches the Rfam family "Bacterial small subunit ribosomal RNA", at positions 524 to 776 of the family's 1533-position model. The record is from RNAcentral.
UACGAAGGGGGCUAGCGUUGUUCGGAAUUACUGGGCGUAAAGCGUGCGCAGGCGGCUUCUCAAGUCAGGGGUGAAAGCCCAGAGCUCAACUCUGGAAUUGCCUUUGAGACUGAGUGGGUUGAGUACGGGAGUGGUGAGUGGAAUUCCCAGUGUAGAGGUGAAAUUCGUAGAUAUUGGGAAGAACACCGGUGGCGAAGGCGGCGACCUGGUCCGAUACUGACGCUGAGGCGCGAAAGCGUGGGGAGCAAACAGG